CGGCGAGUGAAGCGGCAACAGCUCAAAUUUGAAAUCUGGCCCUCGGGUCCGAGUUGUAAUUUGCAGAGGAUGCUUCGGGCGAGGCUUUGAUCGAGUCCCCUGGAAUGGGGCGCCACAGAGGGUGAGAGCCCCGUAUGAUCAGCCGCCGAACCCGUGUGAAGCUCCUUCGACGAGUCGAGUAGUUUGGGAAUGCUGCUCUAAAUGGGAGGUAAAUUUCUUCUAAAGCUAAAUACCGGCCAGAGACCGAUAGCGCACAAGUAGAGUGAUCGAAAGAUGAAAAGCACUUUGAAAAGAGAGUUAAAAAGCACGUGAAAUUGUUGAAAGGGAAGCGCCUAUGACCAGACUCGGGCUCUUGGGAUCAUCCGCCCUUCUGGGCGGUGCACUCCCUCGUUCUCGGGCCAGCAUCGGUUCUCCUCGGGGGAUAAAGGCGCCAGGAACGUGGCUCCCUUCGGGGAGUGUUAUAGCCUGGCGCGUCAUGCUCCGGGGGGGACCGAGGACCGCGCUUCGGCAUGGAUGCUGGCGUAAUGGUCACCGGCGACCCGUCUUGAAACACGGACCAAGGAGUCAAGCAUUAGGGCGAGUGUACGGGUGUAAAACCCGAACGCGCAGUGAAAGCGAACGCUGGUGAGAGCUUCGGCGCAUCACCGACCGAUCCUGAAGUCUUCGGAUGGAUUUGAGUAGGAGCCUUAACGCUUGGACCCGAAAGAUGGUGAACUAUGCCUGAAUAGGGUGAAGCCAGAGGAAACUCUGGUGGAGGCUCGCAGCGGUUCUGACGUGCAAAUCGAUCGUCAAAUUUGGGCAUAGGGGCGAAAGACUAAUCGAACCAUCUAGUAGCUGGUUACCGCCGAAGUUUCCCUCAGGAUAGCAGUGUUGUCUUCAGUUUUAUGAGGUAAAGCGAAUGAUUAGGGACUCGGGGGCGCUAUUAUGCCUUCAUCCAUUCUCAAACUUUAAAUAUGUAA
This 959-nucleotide ribosomal RNA is filed under the name Ophioceras commune. Its description in RNAcentral is "partial large subunit ribosomal RNA". It matches the Rfam family "Eukaryotic large subunit ribosomal RNA", at positions 87 to 1076 of the family's 3401-position model. The record is from RNAcentral. Lineage: Eukaryota; Fungi; Ascomycota; Sordariomycetes; Magnaporthales; Ophioceraceae.